RNAcentral lists this ribosomal RNA (429 nucleotides) under Pseudomonas sp. RNAcentral's name for it is "bacterial SSU rRNA". It matches the Rfam family "Bacterial small subunit ribosomal RNA", at positions 48 to 474 of the family's 1533-position model. The record is from RNAcentral. Lineage: Bacteria; Pseudomonadati; Pseudomonadota; Gammaproteobacteria; Pseudomonadales; Pseudomonadaceae.
GCUACCAUGCAGUCGAGCGGAUGACGGGAGCUUGCUCCUUGAUUCAGCGGCGGACGGGUGAGUAAUGCCUAGGAAUCUGCCUGGUAGUGGGGGACAACGUUUCGAAAGGAACGCUAAUACCGCAUACGUCCUACGGGAGAAAGCAGGGGACCUUCGGGCCUUGCGCUAUCAGAUGAGCCUAGGUCGGAUUAGCUAGUUGGUGGGGUAAUGGCUCACCAAGGCGACGAUCCGUAACUGGUCUGAGAGGAUGAUCAGUCACACUGGAACUGAGACACGGUCCAGACUCCUACGGGAGGCAGCAGUGGGGAAUAUUGGACAAUGGGCGAAAGCCUGAUCCAGCCAUGCCGCGUGUGUGAAGAAGGUCUUCGGAUUGUAAAGCACUUUAAGUUGGGAGGAAGGGAAUUAACCUAUUACGUUAGUGUUUUGACG